GUAGCGGUGAAAUGCUUAGAUAUCACGAAGAACUNCGAUUGCGAAGGCAGCUUGCUGGACUGUAACUGACGCUGAGGCACGAANGCGUGGGGAUCAAACAGGAUUAGAUACCCUGNUANNCCACGCCGUAAACGAUGAAUGCUAGCUGUUAGCGAUAUACUGUUAGCGGCACAGAGAAAUCGUUAAGCAUUCCACCUGGGGAGUACGCCGGCAACGGUGAAACUCAAAGGAAUUGACGGGGGCCCGCACAAGCGGAGGAACAUGUGGUUUAAUUCGAUGAUACGCGAGGAACCUUACCUGGGCUUAAAUUGCAGUGGAAUAACGUGGAAACAUGUUAGCCUUCGGGCCGCUGUGAAGGUGCUGCAUGGUUGUCGUCAGCUCGUGCCGUGAGGUGUCGGCUUAAGUGCCAUAACGAGCGCAACCCUCAUCGAUAGUUACUAACAGGUUAAGCUGAGGACUCUAUCGAGACUGCCGACGUAAGUCGUGAGGAAGGUGGGGAUGACGUCAAAUCAGCACGGCCCUUACGUCCAGGGCUACACACGUGUUACAAUGGGGGGUACAAAGAGCAGCUACCUGGCGACAGGAUGCUAAUCUCAAAAACCUCUCUCAGUUCGGAUUGGAGUCUGCAACCCGACUCCAUGAAGCUGGAUUCGCUAGUAAUCGCGCAUCAGCCACGGCGCGGUGAAUACGUUCCCGGGCCUUGUACACACCGCCCGUCAAGCCAUGGGAGCCGGGGGGACCUGAAGUAUGCAACCGUAAGGAGCGUCCUAGGGUAAAACUGGUGACUGGGGCU
This 793-nucleotide ribosomal RNA is filed under the name uncultured prokaryote. RNAcentral describes it as "bacterial SSU rRNA". It matches the Rfam family "Bacterial small subunit ribosomal RNA", at positions 675 to 1482 of the family's 1533-position model. The record is from RNAcentral.